RNAcentral lists this long non-coding RNA (7889 nucleotides) under Panax ginseng (ginseng). Its description in RNAcentral is "long non-coding RNA (PGIN_LNC006203)". Lineage: Eukaryota; Viridiplantae; Streptophyta; Magnoliopsida; Apiales; Araliaceae. The record is from RNAcentral.
GUUUGGUAAGAACAGUUUAUAAAUGUAAUUUACGAAGUUUAUAAAUGUUAUAAUAGUUUAUAAAUGUUUGGCAGCAGCACUUCGCUGCAAACAACAGCAAGAAGUGUGUCGCAGCAACAGAAGCAGUGUAGCAGAAGCAACAGAAGUAGUUUAACCUUCUCUCAAGAAUCUAUUAGUGCUAGAGCAAAAGUUACUGCCAUCCAUGGCUAGUGCUAGAGCAAAAGUUACUGGCGUAUUUUGGGAGAACCUAGGCUUUUUUGCACAUGCUUAGGUAGUAGCUUAAUUUUAUGAAUAGUUUGGUUUAUUGUGGUUUAUUUUGUCGAUUGAAAAGUGAAUUUGAGAUGUAUAUAUGGAUAAUUUGGUAUAUAUUUUGUGGAUAUAGUAAUUUGAAAUUGUAAACGAAUGGUAUUAUUAAGAUGUAUUUUGAAUGGUUGAUACAUUUUGGCUUUAAUUUUAAAUGAGAAUUUUAGACUUUUUAGCUAUAUAUCAUGGCAUUAGCAUAUUGCAGGUGCAUUGGUAAUAUAGAUGAAUCACAACAUUUUUUUUCUUUUUUUAUCUAUAAUAUUUUAAAAAUGUUGUAUAUUUGUAUAAAUAAAUGACACCUUCUAAAUAGAUGACACAUUAUAAACGUUGUGUAAAUGUGCCUAAACAUUGUCUGAUAUAUUAAACUACAACAUUUUUAUCUAGAAAACGUUGUGGAAUCAUACCUUCUACAACGUUUUUAAGCAUCUGCUAAUUUAUGGAAAACAAAUCUACAACGUUUUUUUCUUAAAAAAUGUUGUGUAAUGUGCUUAACUACAACGUUUUAAAAACGUUGUGUAAGGGUGUCAAAUAGAUGACACUCUUAACCACGACGUUUUUCUGACUGAAACCACAACGUUUUUUCUGCGUUGUCUAUUUACUGUUUUGUUGUAGUACGAUUAGAUAAUUAACAACAGAAUUGAAAAUAAUCGUGGUCAAAUUAGGUUGACCAAACUGUCUCAUGAAUGUUUUCUGGAAAACCAUGAUCUUCAACAGCCAAACUUUCUGACAAGGUUUGACCGACUUGAAUCUUAUGAUUGUGUUGAUAAUAGACUGAUAUUAUGUUAUAGGAUUGCUCUUUUACAUGUUUACUACAAGCAUGAACCUUUACAACACACUAAGCAAGCUCAGUAUGCAAGUUAUAGAGAUCAUAAGUGGCCAACUCGGACUGUUUUUCAUUUCUGGAAAACCCAGAAAUGAAGAAUAGCUUCUGACACAUUUUCUGAAGCUUUAAUCUCUCAGUUUAGUUAUAGUUUGGUCAUGGAAUCGAUUGAUGGUUGUAGUAUUACAUGUACACUACAAUAUUAAAGCAAAUACAGGCCCAUAAAUCAAGUGGAACAUGGAUUAAAUUAUGGUUAAACUAGCUACCUUGGUGUCUGACAUGAACAUUUUGGGUUUGCUGAAGAACACAAUCAGCGACGGUUUUGUCACUAAGGCCACUUUUAGCGACAUUUAAUUUCUGAAAAUAAUUAUUUUAUUUAAAAAUUAGAGAAAAUUGGUUUUUAAUUAUGAAAAAUACAAAAUAAAUUUCUAAAAAUUAUUUUAAAGCCUAAAAAUUAGUUUUUAAUAAUUUUGAAUAUAUUUCAUUAAUAUUUAAUAUUUUUGGAAUAUUAAGGGUAAUUAAUUUAUUUAAUUAUAAUAUUAAAUAAAUUAUUCAAAAAUGAUUUUAAUAUUUGAAAAAUCAUGAAAAAUUAUAUUAUGGUGUUAGAAAAUAUUUUAUGUUAUUUCUAAUAACUUUUGAUAUUUUGUGAUGAAAUUCAUUAAAAAAUUAAUAUUAACUAUAAUGGAUUUAUUUAAUGAAUAUAUUAAAUAAAUUAUGGAAAAAUAGAAUUAAUGUUUUAAAAAUCAUAUAAAAAUGAUUUAAGUGUUAUAAGAAUAUUUUAAGUUAUAAAAUAUAACUUUUGAUAUUUUUUCAUGAAAGUAUUAAUAUUUUAAUAUUAAUAACAAUUAUCGGAUAAUGAAUUUAAUUGUUUAAAAAUCAUAUAAAUAUGAUUUUAAGGUAUUAAAAAUACUUUGAUAUACUAUAAAUAUAUUAUAAUAUUAUGUUAUGAUUUUCAUUAAUAUUUAAUAUUAAAUAAAUAUUAAUGAUAAGAGAAUAAUGUGGUAUUUAUAUUAUAUAAAUACGAUAUAAUUGAUUGAAAAAUUAUGAUAAAUGGUAAUAAUUACUUGAAAAUUAUUACGAGCUUAUGAAAAAUGUUUUGACUAAUAAUAAAAUUAUCUAAGAUAAUUAUUAAUUGUUAGGCAGAGUUUAAUUGAACUUAAACUCGAUAUUUAUCCGACUAAGCCGUCGGGAUGUUAGAAUUGUGUCGGAUUCAACUCAAAGUGAAAGAGUUUGACUUGAUAUCGAGUUUUAGUAGUUUAUGGAUUGAUAGGGUUAUGUGUUAUGUGUUUAGGUUGUUCUAUAUAUAUAUAUAUUGUGUUAGGAAUAACCAUGUGAAUGAUAUUCCUAUUUACAUAUGAUUUGAUUAUGAUAUAUAUAUAUGAAUGAAUAUGCAAGUAUGCUUGCAUUAAGAAAAGCUGUAAAGUCCUUUGAUAGAUUAUAGAAACAUAUGUACAAGCAAAAUAGCUUUGUAAAGUCCUUAAAAAGAAAUGAUGUACAAGGACUAUAAAUAUAGAAAGAUCAAGCAUGUUAGAUUGAUCUUAUGAUGUAAUAGAUAGGCUUGUCUGAUCGUCAAGCACUGCACCAGAAAUCGUAGUCUGCCAGGAAAGUCAAGGAUAACUCGAGAGCUAUCGAGGCAGAAUCGUAGUCUGCAAGAUAGUAGAUCUCGGAGUUCGUAGACUGCCAAGAGAGACGAGGAAGGAUCGUAGUGUGUCGGGUAAAGCUUCCUCGGAGUCGUAGUCUGCUGAGAAAGUCAUGUACAGAAUCGUAGAGACAGCCUGCCUACGAGACGACCGAGCAUCUGUCAAAGAUAAGUCAAGAAUCGUAGACUACACUCAGAGUCGUAGAGUCUACUGAUCGUAUCAAAGGCAGAGAUCGUAGUCGAGCAAGAUCAGAUGAAGACAACAAGCACAACGACAGAAAUCAUAGUGUCAAGAUCUGAUCUCGGAGUCGUAGUGUCUGCACAGCCGAAGCUGAAUCGUAGAGUGUAGAACUAAGACUUCAACAAAUGUGCUCACAAAGCCAAGGCAGAAUCGUAGAGCAAAUACGAUUCUCUAUAAAUGAGCACUCCCAUAAUAUCCAAAGGAAUGAAGCCUCUGGUUGAUACUGCAAAGAUACAUCUCACCUAAAGGAAGCCAGAGAGCACUCAAUGAAUGUCAUACAAGCUAAUAGAAGAUCUAAGCAUAAACCCAAUCAACAUCCAGAUUAAGUUGUGAAGCCAUUCAAGAUGUAGUCUUCCACAAGAUGAUCAUAAGAAGACUUCAGUAGCUGACUAAGGAAAGUCAACAUAUGCAGUAGUUGUUAAGUGGAAAGAUGACAACGAUCUUGGAAGUAACCAGGAUCGUAGUGUUUGCCAAAUAAAGAAGGAACUAAUGGAGUAUAGACAAAGAUAAUGGUCAGCCUCUGAAGAACAAGGCUAAAGUGAUUAAGCAUUGGGUCAGUCCAUUGAUGAUAAGUGAACGGGAGAUCACAAGGAGAAAGUGAGCUGGACACGCCACAAAUCUGAAGUGUGUUGUUAUUCAGAAGGGGCAAGAGCAAGGAAUCAAGCAAUCAGUAUCGGAGAAUAUUCGAGGCAAACAAAAGUAAUGAAGCACUGCACGAAAGAAGGAAGAGUUGUUCUUCACUAAAGAUCAAGUGAACACUCUCCAAGAUCGUAGUGUUAAUUCUAUACGUCAAAAAGCAAGUCAACAAGACACUACGAUCAGGUCCAAGAAGAUAUGAAUCAGAAUUGUAGAGUUUGAACAGCUGAAGAUUGAGGCAUUGACAACGGCUUAAUCUGAAGAUUGAUAUUCGAAUAGAGCUUAUUGAGAGCAUCGAUGCAAAAGGACAACUUCUGAUCAAGAAAUCAGAAGGAAGAAAUAAAGUUGACUACCUGCCCAAGACAUAAAAGUGACAUCUAUGAUGGGGUAGGUGAAAUAGUAGAUUGCAGUGUCAAAAACUCAGAAAAAGGUGUCAUGUGACAUCUGCAGUCAGCACCAAAUAACUCAAGAUCUGUGAAGCAAUUUGAAUAGCUUUCAACGGCUACCUUCCAACGGGAAGAUUGGAAAGUAGUAUAAAUCGACAGAGCUUCAAAGAUCAAGAGUUGCUGAAGAUUGCUAUGUUGCAGAAUCGCUGAGUUGUUGAAUGCUAUUGUUGACUCUACGAGUUCCACCAAAGAUCAACAGAACAAGUCUCAGUGACAGUGAGACUACAUAGGUGGAAGUGAAGCAACUUUGAAGAAGGACUAAAACACACUAGAGCUUCCCUCCACAAAGAUGAGAAAGCCACUGAAGAUGGCAGCCAAGCUGAGAGCCGAGAAGGCCAAGAAGAUAACAUUCAGAAAAGUGGCAGAGUACAAAGAAGAUCAGGAGAACCACUCUACGAAUCACCAUGAACCUAAAGCUGAAAUCGAACAAGUGCAGAACCAUGUCUAUAAAACAUUAAAUAAGGGUUCAGCGAUUGCUAAGUGCCAGAAAAAAAACUCAGGGACUUAGCAAAUCCAGAUGGUGAUGGUGUACAGCUGACAUCAGAUGAAGAUGAACAGAAAAGAGUAAAGAUCAGCUGCACCAAAGAAGAUGUGGUUCAGACUUAAAGCGGAAUGCUAAGACCACCACACCAAGCUGCUAAGUACAGAAGAUGUUUAGAGCUUAAAGACAUCUUAGCAGCUCAGCACCGACAACAUCAACAACUACAACAACAAGACGCCAGAGCCUGAGGGGUCCUUGUUCGGAGGGACUAAAUGAAGUUUCCAAGCCUGCUGGGCUUGAAGAGUUCCUAGGGAACUAGAGAAGUUCCAAGACUGCUGGCCUUGAAGAGUUCUUAGUGAACUGAAGUCCCAAGGCUGCUGGCCUUGAACGAAUCUUAGUGAUUCAGGGUGCUGCCCUUCCUUAGUGGAAAUCCUACUAGUUGAAAGCAGAAGAAUGGAUUAGGAGCUUGAGUCUCUGAACCACUUAAAACCCCUUGUGUCUUUUACUUUAUGUCAUUUACUUUAUGUACAUUAACUACAAUAACUACUAUGUAUGUUUUAACUGCUUACUGCUGAAUUAACUCUACGAACAAUGUAUGUCUGAUUAUGAAUAUAUCAAUGAAGGGGAUCUUUUACUUAUUCCUUUUUGCUUGAAAAGAUUCUUAUGUUUGUCAUAUGCUAAUUCAUGAGCAAUACAAAAUAAAUGAGAAAAGUUUUUCAAAUCGAAAAAGGAUCUAUUCAACCCCCCUUUCUAGAUCUAUAUUGUUCCUACUGGGAACUAACAAUUUGUAUCGGAAUAGGUUCUCAUGCUAUAUUCAAAAGCUAAUCGCUUUGAGUCUGAUCCUAGGCACAAACAUUAUUCUAAACUUAGUUUAGUAGUAAGUCACUUGUUAUAUGCAGAUGAGCUCACACAUUGGAAAUAUUGUGUGCAGGUAAAUGUGCAUAUACACCUAAAGCUGCUCAGAUUGGUCCAUGUUCUUGACUGUCAUAUCAACAAGACCAAUCCUUUUAUGCGGUCAAUCUUGUAGUCUGAAGACUAGGCUAGAAAGCUCAGGAGACAUCAACAGAAAAGAAUCAAACAUCCAUCAGCCUGAAAAGAUGAAAAGGCCAUACAUGCUAAGUAAUGCUUCUCCAGAGAAGAAAGAAGAACUUCUCAAACAUGUGUUUGGCCAACCUGUAGCUGGAUGUAAACCUUGUGAACUCAAGGAUGUCAAAGAAUUAAAGAUGCUGAUAUUCUCUUAGCUUGCAUCUUCAAGACCACUACUGAUUGAUUGAAGGUCAACUGAAGCAGCUGGCUGUCAGGAGAAAUUGAGAAACUAUGCACAUCAAUGCCUAAACUUAGUAUAUCUUAGAUAAAUGACUGAUAAGAAACUGACAGUAAAAAGGUACAGUUCCUCACUUAUAUAAAUAUGUACAUCAUGAUUGCACUCCUUAUGAACUAUAAUAGUAUUCUUUCAAGGAACCAUAAUCUACCUACAAAAGUGAGGAGAGAAAGUACACUAAGGGUGGAAACUCAAAUGCCUAUAAACUUUCUCUCCAUCCAAGUUUUAGGUUGAAGAUGAUAUCUUGAAAGAAAUUUGAAAUGGGUCAUAAUAGCAUCACAGGUUAAAAUAAUUUUAUGUGUAGUAAUCUUCACUGAUGGGUUAGUAUGUAUGUAUAACCUAUGGUCUAAGUGUUUAAUAACACACAAAGUAUGAUCAGUUCUACAAGAGCAUAUUGAAGAUUCGUAGAAACUGAUCACCUCCAUGAACUAACCAGAUACAAAUAAAUUGCAGAGUUGAUUCUCACUCUGUGAACAUUUAAACUCUAUGAACAUAACCUAGCAAAUGAUGAAACCAUCAAAGAAAAAGAGUGUUUAUUAAAAUAGCAAAUCUCACACACACUCACCAUCAUGCAUCUCAAAAUGUAUUAUCUAACUUAGUUACAUGCAUGAAUAUGACUGUUGGUGAUCAAUAUGAUGAUUAUCCAAAUAUAUGAGGAACAGGGGUUUAGAAAACUAACCUAGCAAGACCCAUAUAACCAUGGGUACCAAAAAUAGAAAUUUAUAACCUGUAGGUACCUGGUCCAUCUGACCACACUAAGGAAUGUUGAAGCAGAAGAUUUCAGUCAAGAAAUUUCAACCAGCAGAAGGCUCAAGACCGUUCAGAAAUGAUUCUGAUAAAACUCCUAUAUGUCAAAGCCUGUCCUGGAAGACUUGUUGAGCUAAUCUGAAUGAAGCUCUCAUUGUUGCUGAUCCUUAUAAGGAAACAAGUCAUUCAACUAAAGAUGUAAAAGGUUCUUAGAUGCUCAAUCAUUUAAAGCAUGUCAUAAGAGAAGAAUCCUCACGAAGCUCACCAUAGAGGAUCAUUGAGCAUCAAACAUGAGGAACUCAUUACAGGAGAAGAAGUCCACAAGUACAAACUGUAAAAGAAGACUACGUUCAUAGUGCUGUCAAAGGAUCGUAGAAUGAUCAACCCUGAAGAUGCCCAUUUCUACGAUAUAAGAAAAUUUAAUGAUUUCAGUCAGUAGGAGAUAUGUAGGGAUGCUUCCUAAUGUACAUGAAGAAAAAGAAAUCACACCUCACUUAAAAGAUAUCAUCAACCAUGGGGGAGCAGUGAUCUGUUAAGAAAAAACAACACUGAAAUAUUCUAUAAAGCAAUAUACCAGGUACAGAGUCCCAAAACUUUGUGGUUGAUGAACCAAAUGAAGAUCCAUAGUAAGUAGGAACGUCUCAAAACGUACUAUUGAUAACCUAUCAGCCACCCAACUUAAAAUCGUGGAGUGCCUACGAUCAAACAUCUGAUCGUAGUGUAAAAGUAGGAGGACACCACGAUUACAGAAAAUGCAAUUGUCUAAAGUUGAUAAAGGACCUCCCCAUCAGAGAAGGUCAAAUGAGCUAUCAGUGCAAAUUACUUCUGAAGUACUUCAUCUGGAAAGCGCCUCAAGGACAAACCUGAUCCUUAGCUCACUCUAAGAGGUUGGCCCUUCCUGAGCUACCUUAACCCAGAAGGAUUGCUUGAUCAAGUUUAUCUUAAGGACCAAGACAAUCAAUGAUCGUAAAGUAGAAUUUGAAAAGAACUCAACGAUCGUGAUAUAAACUCAACGAUCGUAAUAUAAGCUCAAUGAUCGUAGUGCAACCUCAGCGAUCGUAGAAACAGACUCAACGAUCGCAGUCUUACAAGAGGUUACUCUAACGAAUGAGGAGCCUGAAAGAAUGGGAUAAAUUGCUCAACCAGUCAGAUUAUGGGGAGACCAGUUCGAAUGCUGAUUGGAAAGAUGUCUUGCUGAAGAAAAAUGCCUAAGGUUUCAUGAAGUACGUAAGUGGUUGAGGCAUACAGUUUCAAA